This 439-nucleotide ribosomal RNA is filed under the name uncultured bacterium. RNAcentral describes it as "partial 16S ribosomal RNA". It matches the Rfam family "Bacterial small subunit ribosomal RNA", at positions 339 to 795 of the family's 1533-position model. The record is from RNAcentral.
CUACGGGGCGCUGCAGUGGGGAAUAUUGCGCAAUGGGGGCAACCCUGACGCAGCCAUGCCGCGUGAGUGAAGAAGGCCUUAGGGUUGUAAAGCUCUUUCACCCGUGACGAUGAUGACGGUAGCGGGAGAAGAAGCCCCGGCUAACUCCGUGCCAGCAGCCGCGGUAAUACGGAGGGGGCUAGCGUUGUUCGGAAUUACUGGGCGUAAAGCGCACGUAGGCGGCUUGUUUAGUUGGGGGUGAAAGGCCUGGGCUUAACCUGGGAACUGCCCUUAAUACUGAUGGGCUUGAGACCGAGAGGGGGUGGUGGAACUCCCAGUGUAGAGGUGAAAUUCGUAGAUAUUGGGAAGAACACCGGUGGCGAAGGCGACCACCUGGCUCGGAUCUGACGCUGAGGUGCGAAAGCGUGGGGAGCAAACAGGAUUAGAUACCCGAGUAGUC